RNAcentral lists this unclassified non-coding RNA (225 nucleotides) under Hevea brasiliensis (rubber tree). The record is from RNAcentral. Lineage: Eukaryota; Viridiplantae; Streptophyta; Magnoliopsida; Malpighiales; Euphorbiaceae.
AAAAUAUUGAAUGGCUGGGAUUCUUCAUUGCUGGUGAAAUUUGAAAAAAUUGGAGAUUUUCAUCUUGAACUAUGAUUAUAAUGGCAGUCAUUAACUUUAAAAAUGACAGUCACCAGUUUUUGUUAUUUGCUGGAGAUCUCUCAUACUUCAGUUUUAUUUAUUUACGUUGUAUAUGGGUAAUUCCUCUGAAACAUUCACUCAACCUCCACGAGGAAGGAUGAAGUU